RNAcentral lists this ribosomal RNA (255 nucleotides) under uncultured bacterium. Its description in RNAcentral is "partial 16S ribosomal RNA". It matches the Rfam family "Bacterial small subunit ribosomal RNA", at positions 524 to 776 of the family's 1533-position model. The record is from RNAcentral.
UACGGGGGGGGCAAGCGUUGUUCGGAAUUACUGGGCGUAAAGGGCUCGUAGGCGGCCAACUAAGUCAUACGUGAAAUCCCUCGGCUUAACCGGGGAACUGCGUCUGAUACUGGAUGGCUUGAGUUCGGGAGAGGGAUGCGGAAUUCCAGGUGUAGCGGUGGAAAUGCGUAGAUAUCUGGAGGAACACCGGUGGCGAAGGCGGCAUCCUGGACCGAUACUGACGCUGAGGAGCCGAAAGCCAGGGGAGCAAACGGG